CGAAAAUGGACUCAUUAGUGCUAAGUAAAAUUAAAAGAAAAAAACUAUUUUCGGCGAUUAGAAGCUCCAAGAAUCAAUUCACGUUUGACGGGAUCAUAACGUUCAUCGUUGUAAAAAUCGACCCUAGCAUUCGAUCCUUCAUUGCCCUUAUUUUUGCUUCUCUUUCCAUUAAUUGUUGGAGGUAUAUGUCUUUUGACAAUAUCGGCGAUUUUUUUACUUCUCGAUCCAUGAUAAGCCCAAAACUGACGCGGUGAAUUCAAUGAUGAACGAGUGCUGUGGUUUCUGCUUAUCGCAGACGCCGGUGAACCUUCUUCCUGAUUCUCCUCGGCCAAAGGUUGCUGCACAUUUAUGUAAUCAUCUCGAGCCAUAACCAUGCUUUCUAAAUCUGCAUGUCGAUUAUGUUCGGCUGAGAGUUGUUGAAGGUUUAAGAGUUCUGAAGAAACCUCACGUUCAUGUUCCUUAAGAUGAUAAUUGCCUUUUACUUUCUCAACAAGUAGCUUUCCAGUAUGGGAAACUACUGUUCGUAUAAGAUCGUGCUUCAACUUCAUAGCCAAGUCCAAGUAAGAGCAUACUUCAUUUCGAUAUUCCAUAGUGGGGACGGUAAACACAAAUCCAGUAAUAUUUUCCAAACCUAAGCCUCCCGUUCCACGAUAACUCAAACGAAGGACGACGCUUGGAAUCUUGAAGUACGUGAUAAGCAUAUUUGAGCCAGCGCGGUCUAACAUUGACUGAAGUUCCAUUCUGCCUUCAUCGUCUACGUCAAGGCAUUUGUCAAUAGUAAAGUCAAUUAACGAUGCUCGUUUCGAGCGACUAUCCCGCCUUGAUGAACUAGGAGUAGCUAAAGCGUCUUCUUCUUGGUCAUUUGUGCGACGCCGCAUUAAUGAACCAGAGUAAUUUGAAUUAUCCGCUUCACCUUGGGAUCCAUUUUCCUUCCUUUUGUCAUGAUUACGAGAAUAUAUAUGUGGAAAUCCAUCGGAUUCGUUGCGAUUUGGAAACGCAUAUGCAAAGAGCUUAGUAGCCAAUUCCUGUUCAAUUUGCAAACUCAAUGGAAACAAAUUAAUUUCAAAAUGCUGAAUCACUUGAAUACCUGCGACCGCCUCUAGUACUUCCCAGUGAAUGCGUAUAAAUUUCUGUUGAAGCAGUUGCUCGUUAGAGAAUUCAUGAUUAAAGUAUGGACAAAUUAUGUUCUCAAAUUGGCAGCCUGGCGCCAGAUUAGAACCUUUCAUAAACUCUAUCUCAAGUGUAUUAAAAUUAGAUGCGUCCGAAUUUUCAAUACGCCGAAAAGUGGCAUUUUGCAAACGGACAUCGAGAAAUGGUUUUUUAUUGUCUUCUAAAAGGUGCCAUACAACCUCUUUUGCCAUCAAAAACCAACUCAAGUUAGACCUAACUUUAUUUUGAUGUAUUCCACGGUUCUGAACAGCGGCUAUCGACUCAAUUAAAUAAUACAACUCCUCUCCACAACGGUGUAAUUCAUUUUGCAAAAACAACUGCUGUGCGAUAUGAGCAUAUAUACCAAACGUCACGUCAUAUAGUUGGUGCUGUAGCUUUAGAUCCAACAGACGAUGAACUCUUGCUUGUAAAGCUCUAACUACCUCCGAAGUACCUGUCAGGUCACUAAAAUCAGCAGCAAGCAUAAUUUCCUCUAAACGUUGAUUACGUUGUUUUUGGGCUGGUUCUUUAUACAGCAACAAAUCAGUUAUAAUUGUAAAAAUAUCAUAAUACUGAGACGAGUCAGUAGAAAAGACAACCCGAGGAAAAUCAAAGGUUAACGUAUCAGCGUGAGUAUCUAAAUCCUCAAAAAAGGCUCUAGUCGAAUGAACCGUUUCUUGUAAACGUAAAUCAUUGUGUUUUGUGUAAAUUACCGAAAAGGAUACCCGAUGCAAAAAACGAGAGAAAGCAGCAGGAGUAAGCACGAAAUCAAAUGUGGUUUCAAAUGGAACCCAAGGAGGCCAAACUGUAUUAUGUUCACAUCCGUAUUCAUUCAAAACAAGACUUGAAGCAUUAACAACUUCGAAGUCGGAUUUUUUAGAAAUAAAAAACUGGGACUCAUUCACUUUACAUAAGAAUCUUCUCUCUAUAAGAUAAUUGAUAUCAUUAUCAGGAAAAAUUGGGUCAACGACGCUUAGAAUUUUAAUUUGUAAGCUUUGGAUUGAUAUUAUUACAGCUUUCUCCGGAUUGGAGCUACACUGUAAUUGAAUUUGAGGGGAAAUAAAUCGGAAAACAUAACUUUGAAUAAUAUCAUACUCAUUAUUACUGAUGGAGUUUGUGUUACCUUCUUCACUACCAUGUUCACGAUCAGCGUCAGAAGUCUUUACCCAAAACCUCUUCUUAGAGUCUUCAAGUAAAAACUUUAACAAAUGUCUAGCAUUUUCUCGGUCCUCAUCAUCCUCGGUGUAAUUUCCAAAAAAGUCAUCAUUAGCAGACUCAGUACGUUUUUCUAAAUCACGCAAAAAAACGAUGGCCUUCUGUGACAUGUAAUAAGCAAAUCCUCUUACACGUUCAACUUCAUGAACAUAAGACAUAACGGCAUUUCGAAUGAAAUUGUUCCAUUUAACUUGGACAUUAUGAGCAACAAAUCUAUUGUUGAAGGCAUGAACGGAUUCCGAUAAUGACGCAUAAGAAAGAUCCACUUGCCCAUUUUCCGAACAUUGUGACGCUUGACUACAACUACUUUCAUCUUUAAGUAGAUACUCCAAUAAGCGAUAGUGAUCAGAUAAAGUUACUAUCCUUUUAGUAAGUUCUUCGUAUUCUUGUCUGACCUCCUCGGAAUCGUUAUUGGAUUCCAACUGAGAUUUAAGAAAACCAAUUCGCUCUUGCUCAGAACUCAUGAAUUCUUCAAGUUCUUUUCGGCGUUUUUGAAGAAGUUCAUAUUGGACCGCCUUCGGAUUUUCCCUACUUGGCAUUAAACAUCGAUGAGUAAAUUCAUCUCCAAAUCUGCACGUAUCAGGAAUUAUCUCCUUUUCGUUUUUUUCAUUUCGACGGUGGCAUUUGGUAUGACGAUAAUAAGUAAAUCUUGGAGAAAACGCUAGAGGAUAGAUGGAGCAUUUCUCAUUCUGCUGAGGUAAAAGCCAAUCUGCUUCGUGAUAGUCAUCAAUAUCGACCCAAUUAGCAGGACCAUCUACAUUUUUGAAAGAAAAACAUUCUUUUUCCUCCUCAUCCAGCACGUUAGCUGGUAUAGAGUCUGAAUUAUCAAGGGCCCCUUCAUCAAAAGAAGCAGAAAUUGCUCUUAAGUCGAUAGUCUUGAAAUCAAUUUCAGCAAGAUGAACUUUCAUUGAUGUGGCUUCUUGGUGCUUUCUUCCUAAAUUUGCUUUGUUUUUUACUUCAUGCUUUUCAGAACGCUGAUGUAAAUCAAUUGUGAAGUUAUCAACUCUAGCUUUCAAACCAGUAGCGCUCGCAGUUCUAUCCUGCCAAUUUUUGUUGGUUUUGUAGUUGUACAUAUGGCUAAUAAAAAGAGGCGUAAGCUCUAGCGCAUAUUUAAAAGUAGCCAAAUGUCGGCCAAACUUUUUGUUAGGGGAUGAAUCUAAAGUAGGAAAAAGAUUACCACUGCGUAAUGGAUAAGACAUGUUGUUCGAAAAUAAAUUCCACCAAGAACUAAAGUGGGAAAACACAAGCGGUGUUAGAUGAAUAGUGUUAUAAGAAUUCACAUUUUCAAAAGCAUUCGCAUCAUCUAGGUAUCUUGGAGACUCUAAAGCAAGUGAGCAAU
Molecule: non-coding RNA, 3703 nt
Organism: Schizosaccharomyces pombe (fission yeast)
Lineage: Eukaryota; Fungi; Ascomycota; Schizosaccharomycetes; Schizosaccharomycetales; Schizosaccharomycetaceae
Source: the annotation of a GenBank genome assembly